UUUGUGUGUCAGGAUGGCCGAGUGGUCUAAGGCGCCAGACUUAAGGUUCGGCUCUGUAUGCAGUAAAGAGACUUCUGGUCUCCAAUUGGAGUCGUGGGUUCGAACCCCACUUCUGACAUGUCUUUACCGUUUUAUAAUCCACUUUGGACACUAAAUUAUUUUGACUCGCUAACUUUUUCAAGGUGGCAGAAAACGUUUGUCUUUCCUUUGUUUGUGUGUCAGGAUGGCCGAGUGGUCUAAGGCGCCAGACUCAAGGUUUGACUCCUUCUUCAGGAAAGAGGCUUCUGGUCUCCAAUUGGAGUCGUGGGUUCGAACCCCACUUCUGACAUGUCUUUACCGUUUUAUAAUCCACUUUGGACACUAAAUUAUUUUGACUCGCUAACUUUUUCAAGGUGGCAGAAAACGUUUGUCUUUCCUUUGUUUGUGUGUCAGGAUUGCCGAGUGGUCUAAGGCGCCAGACUCAAGGUUUGACUCCUUCUUCAGGAAAGAGGCUUCUGGUCUCCAAUUGGAGGCGUGGGUUCGAACCCCAGUUCUGACAUGUCUUUACCGUUUUAUAGUCCACUUUGGACACUAAUUUAUUUUGACUCGCUAACUUUUUCAAGGUGGCAGAAAAUGUUUGUCUUUCCUUUGUUUUUGUGUCAGGAUGGCCGAGUGGUCUAAGGCGCCAGACUUAAGGAUCGGCUCUGUAUGCAGUCAAGAGACUUCUGGUCUCCAAUUGGAGUCGUGGGUUCGAACCCCACUUCUGACAUGUCUUUACAGUUUUAUAGUCCACUUUGGACACUAAAUUAGUUUGACUCGCUAACUUUUUCAAGGUGGCAGAAAACGUUUGUCUUUGCUUUAUUUGUGUGUCAGGAUGGCCGAGUGGUCUAAGGCGCCAGACUUAAGGAUCGGCUCUGUAUGCAGUAAAGAGACUUCUGGUCUCCAAUUGGAGUCGUGGGUUCGAACCCCACUUCUGACAUGUCUUUACCGUUUUAUAGUCCACUUUGGACACUAAAUUAUUUUGACUCGCUAACUUUUUCAAGGUGGCAGAAAACGUUUGUCUUUGCUUUAUUUGUGUUUCAGGAUGGCCGAGUGGUCUAAGGCGCCAGACUUAAGGUUCGGCUCUGUAUGCAGUAAAGAGACUUCUGGUCUCCAAUUGGAGUCGUGGGUUCGAACCCCACUUCUGACAUGUCUUUACCGUUUUAUAAUCCCCUUUGGACACUAAAUUAUUUUGACUCGCUAACUUUUUCAAGGUGGCCGAAAACGUUUGUCUUUCCUUUAUUUGUGUGUCAGGAUGGGCCGAUGGUCUAAGGCGCCAGACUUAAGGAUCGGCUCUGUAUGCAGUAAAGAGAAU
Long non-coding RNA from Gasterosteus aculeatus aculeatus (three-spined stickleback), 1333 nucleotides. NCBI's taxonomy places the organism in Eukaryota, Metazoa, Chordata, Actinopteri, Perciformes, Gasterosteidae. The record is from Ensembl.